UACGGGGGGGGCAAGCGUUGUUCGGAAUUACUGGGCGUAAAGGGCUCGUAGGCGGCCAACUAAGUCAGACGUGAAAUCCCUCAGCUUAACUGGGGAACUGCGUCUGAUACUGGAUGGCUUGAGUUCGGGAGAGGGAUGCGGAAUUCCAGGUGUAGCGGUGAAAUGCGUAGAUAUCUGGAGGAACACCGGUGGCGAAGGCGGCAUCCUGGACCGACACUGACGCUGAGGAGCGAAGGCCAGGGGAGCAAACGGG
This 253-nucleotide ribosomal RNA is filed under the name uncultured bacterium. RNAcentral's name for it is "partial 16S ribosomal RNA". It matches the Rfam family "Bacterial small subunit ribosomal RNA", at positions 524 to 776 of the family's 1533-position model. The record is from RNAcentral.